RNAcentral lists this ribosomal RNA (376 nucleotides) under uncultured bacterium. RNAcentral's name for it is "bacterial SSU rRNA". It matches the Rfam family "Bacterial small subunit ribosomal RNA", at positions 1024 to 1384 of the family's 1533-position model. The record is from RNAcentral.
GGCAGAAGUGACAGUGUGGUGCAUGGCUUGUCGUCAGCUCGGUGUCGUAGAAGAUGUUGGGUUAAUGUCCCGCAACAGAGGCGCAACCCUUAUCCUUAGUAGCCAGCGGUUCGGGCCGGGCACUCUGGGGAGACUGCCGGGAGUAUAACUCCGGAGGAAGGUGGGGAUGACGUCAAGAUCAUCAUGCCCCUUAUGACUUGGGCUACACACGUGCUACAAUGGCGGUAACAAAGGGAAGCAGCCUCGCGAGAGUGAGCAAAUCCCCAAAAAUGCCGUCUCAGUUCGGAUUGUAGUCUGCAACUCGACUACAUAGAAGCUGGAAUCGCUAGUAAUCGCAGUAUCAGAAUGCUGCGGUGAAUACGUUCCCGGGCCUUGU